RNAcentral lists this ribosomal RNA (497 nucleotides) under uncultured bacterium. RNAcentral's name for it is "partial 16S ribosomal RNA". It matches the Rfam family "Bacterial small subunit ribosomal RNA", at positions 28 to 507 of the family's 1533-position model. The record is from RNAcentral.
GAUGAACGCUGGCGGCGUGCCUAAUACAUGCAAGUCGAGCGAACAGACGAGGAGCUUGCUCCUCUGACGUUAGCGGCGGACGGGUGAGUAACACGUGGAUAACCUACCUAUCAGACUGGGAUAACUUCGGGAAACCGGAGCUAAUACCGGAUAAUAUAUUGAACCGCAUGGUUCAAUAGUGAAAGACGGUUUUGCUGUCACUUAUAGAUGGAUCCGCGCCGCAUUAGCUAGUUGGUAAGGUAACGGCUUACCAAGGCAACGAUGCGUAGCCGACCUGAGAGGGUGAUCGCCCACACUGGAACUGAGACACGCUCCUGACUCCUACGGGACGCAGCAGUAUGGAAUCUUCCGCAAUGGGCGAAAGCCUGACGGAGCAACGCCGCGUGAGUGAUGAAGGUCUUCGGAUCGUAAAACUCUGUUAUUAGGGAAGAACAAAUGUGUAAGUAACUAUGCACGUCUUGACGGUACCUAAUCAGAAAGCCACGGCUAACUACGUG